Molecule: ribosomal RNA, 515 nt
Filed under: uncultured bacterium
Lineage: Bacteria
Description: bacterial SSU rRNA
Rfam family: Bacterial small subunit ribosomal RNA
Source: RNAcentral
AGGGUUCGAUUCUGGCUCAGGAUGAACGCUGGCGGCGUGCCUAACACAUGCAAGUCGAACGGGUAAGUGAAAUUUCGGAUGGAGCUUAACUUAGUGGCGGACGGGUGAGUAACGCGUGGAUAACCUGCCUCACACUGGGGGAUAGCAGCUGGAAACGGCUGGUAAUACCGCAUAAGACCACAGCACCGCAUGGUGCAGGGGUAAAAGAUUUAUCGGUGUGAGAUGGAUCCGCGUCUGAUUAGCCAGUUGGCGGGGUAACGGCCCACCAAAGCGACGAUCAGUAGCCGGCCUGAGAGGGUGAACGGCCACAUUGGGACUGAGACACGGCCCAAACUCCUACGGGAGGCAGCAGUGGGGAAUAUUGCACAAUGGGCGCAAGCCUGAUGCAGCAACGCCCGCGUGAGUGAAGAAGUAUUUCGGUAUGUAAAGCUCUAUCGGCAGGGAAGAAAGGCCCUUAACAGGGAGAUGACGGUACCUGACUAAGAAGCCCCGGCUAACCACGUGCCAGCCGCCGC